Molecule: long non-coding RNA, 263 nt
Organism: Diceros bicornis minor
Lineage: Eukaryota; Metazoa; Chordata; Mammalia; Perissodactyla; Rhinocerotidae
Exons: 3
Source: RefSeq, a predicted model, not a curated record
AAAGCAUCCGUGGAGCUCAAGUUUGAGGUGAAAGCAGGCUCAGAGUCCACCUGUCCUCGCUGAUCCAUGGAUUUCUGUGUGACCAGAUUACACCUAUGGAGCCGCAGCCCCGACUACCACCACUUUGGGACACAACCUGAAGACCCUCACAGUCACCUUCCCCAUCUCCACCCUCCAGUAUUCAUCAGACAGGAGCAACGGCUCAGCCACGUUCAACUCCACUGAGAGGGUCCUGCAGAGCCUGAGGAGACCCUGGUUCCAGC